CUGCUUCCAGGAAAAGCCUCUAAGCAUCAGGUAACACGAAAUCGUACCCCAAACCGACACAGGUGGUCAGGUAGAGAAUACCAAGGCGCUUGAGAGAACUCGGGUGAAGGAACUAGGCAAAAUGGUGCCGUAACUUCGGGAGAAGGCACGCUGACACGUAGGUGAAGUGAUUUACUCAUGGAGCUGAAGUCAGUCGAAGAUACCAGCUGGCUGCAACUGUUUAUUAAAAACACAGCACUGUGCAAACACGAAAGUGGACGUAUACGGUGUGACGCCUGCCCGGUGCCGGAAGGUUAAUUGAUGGGGUCAGCGCAAGCGAAGCUCCUGAUCGAAGCCCCGGUAAACGGCGGCCGUAACUAUAACGGUCCUAAGGUAGCGAAAUUCCUUGUCGGGUAAGUUCCGACCUGCACGAAUGGCGUAAUGAUGGCCAGGCUGUCUCCACCCGAGACUCAGUGAAAUUGAACUCGCUGUGAAGAUGCAGUGUACCCGCGGCAAGACGGAAAGACCCCGUGAACCUUUACUAUAGCUUGACACUGAACAUUGAGCCUUGAUGUGUAGGAUAGGUGGGAGGCUUUGAAGUGUGGACGCCAGUCUGCAUGGAGCCGACCUUGAAAUACCACCCUUUAAUGUUUGAUGUUCUAACGUGGACCCGUAAUCCGGGUUGCGGACAGUGUCUGGUGGGUAGUUUGACUGGGGCGGUCUCCUCCUAAAGAGUAACGGAGGAGCACGAAGGUUGGCUAAUCCUGGUCGGACAUCAGGAGGUUAGUGCAAUGGCAUAAGCCAGCUUGACUGCGAGCGUGACGGCGCGAGCAGGUGCGAAAGCAGGUCAUAGUGAUCCGGUGGUUCUGAAUGGAAGGGCCAUCGCUCAACGGAUAAAAGGUACUCCGGGGAUAACAGGCUGAUACCGCCCAAGAGUUCAUAUCGACGGCGGUGUUUGGCACCUCGAUGUCGGCUCAUCACAUCCUGGGGCUGAAGUAGGUCCCAAGGGUAUGGCUGUUCGCCAUUUAAAGUGGUACGCGAGCUGGGUUUAGAACGUCGUGAGACAGUUCGGUCCCUAUCUGCCGUGGGCGCUGGAGAACUGAGGGGGGCUGCUCCUAGUACGAGAGGACCGGAGUGGACGCAUCACUGGUGUUCGGGUUGUCAUGCCAAUGGCACUGCCCGGUAGCUAAAUGCGGAAGAGAUAAGUGCUGAAAGCAUCUAAGCACGAAACUUGCCCCGAGAUGAGUUCUCCCUGAGACUUAGAGUCUCCUGAAGGAACGUUGAAGACGACGACGUUGAUAGGCCGGGUGUGUAAGCGCAGCGAUGCGUUGAGCUAACCGGUACUAAUGAACCGUGAGGCUUAACCUU
This 1347-nucleotide ribosomal RNA is filed under the name Salmonella enterica. RNAcentral describes it as "partial 23S ribosomal RNA". It matches the Rfam family "Bacterial large subunit ribosomal RNA", at positions 1602 to 2925 of the family's 2925-position model. The record is from RNAcentral. Lineage: Bacteria; Pseudomonadati; Pseudomonadota; Gammaproteobacteria; Enterobacterales; Enterobacteriaceae.